This 478-nucleotide ribosomal RNA is filed under the name uncultured delta proteobacterium. Its description in RNAcentral is "bacterial SSU rRNA". It matches the Rfam family "Bacterial small subunit ribosomal RNA", at positions 29 to 479 of the family's 1533-position model. The record is from RNAcentral. Lineage: Bacteria; Deltaproteobacteria.
AACGAACGCUGGCGGCGUGCUUAACACAUGCAAGUCGAACGAGAAAAUCCUGGCUUGCCAGGAUGAGUAAAGUGGCGCACGGGUGAGUAACACGUGAGUAAUCUGCCCCUAAGACAGGAAUAACAUUGCGAAAGCGAUGCUAAUACCUGGUAAGCCCACGACUUCUUCGGGAGAUGUGGGAAAAGGUGGCCUCUGACAUAAGCUAUCACUUAGGGAUGAGCUCGCGGACCAUUAGCUUGUUGGUAGGGUAAUGGCCUACCAAGGCGAUGAUGGUUAGCUGGCCUGAGAGGGUGGCCAGCCACACUGGAACUGAGAUACGGUCCAGACUCCUACGGGAGGCAGCAGUGGGGAAUCUUGCGCAAUGGGGGAAACCCUGACGCAGCAACGCCGCGUGAGUGACGAAGGCUUUCGGGUCGUAAAGCUCUGUCAGAUGGAAAGAAUUAGUUCGCUGAAAAUAUUGGCGAAUGAUGACGGUACC